RNAcentral lists this ribosomal RNA (507 nucleotides) under uncultured Acidobacteriota bacterium. Its description in RNAcentral is "bacterial SSU rRNA". It matches the Rfam family "Bacterial small subunit ribosomal RNA", at positions 355 to 878 of the family's 1533-position model. The record is from RNAcentral. Lineage: Bacteria; Pseudomonadati; Acidobacteriota.
UCGGGAAUUUUGCGCAAUGGGCGAAAGCCUGACGCAGCAACGCCGCGUGAGGGAUGAAGGCCUUCGGGUUGUAAACCUCUUUUCUCAGGGACGAUGAUGACGGUACCUGAGGAAUAAGCCACGGCUAACUACGUGCCAGCAGCCGCGGUAAUACGUAGGUGGCGAGCGUUGUCCGGAUUUACUGGGCGUAAAGAGCGCGCAGGCGGUCGGUCAAGUCGAGUGUGAAAGCCCCCGGCUCAACUGGGGAGGGUCAUUCGAUACUGAUCGACUCGAAGGCAGGAGAGGGAAGUGGAAUUCCCGGUGUAGUGGUGAAAUGCGUAGAUAUCGGGACGAACACCAGUGGCGAAGGCGACUUCCUGGCCUGUUCUUGACGCUGAGGCGCGAAAGCUAGGGGAGCAAACGGGAUUAGAUACCCCCGGUAGUCCUAGCCGUAAACGAUGGACACUAGGUGUUGGUGGUAUCAACCCCGCAGUGCCGAAGCUAACGCAUUAAGUGUCCCGCUGGGGA